GACGAACGCUGGCGGCGUGCCUAAUACAUGCAAGUCGAGCGGAAGUUGGAGAGCUUGCUCUUCAACUUUAGCGGCGGACGGGUGAGUAACACGUGGGCAACCUGCCCUGCAGAUCGGAAUAACUCCGGGAAACCGGUGCUAAUACCGAAUAGUUUUCGCCACCUCCUGGUGGCGUACGGAAUGACGGUUUCGGCUGUCACUGCAUGAUGGGCCCGCGGGGCAUUGGCUAGUUGGUGGGGUAACGGCCACCAAGGCAACGAUGCGUAGCCGACCUGAGAGGGUGAUCGGCCACACUGGGACUGAGACACGGCCCAGACUCCUACGGGAGGCAGCAGUAGGGAAUCUUCCGCAAUGGACGAAAGUCUGACGGAGCAACGCCGCGUGAGUGACGAAGGUUUUCGGAUCGUAAAACUCUGUUGUGAGGGAAGAACAAGUACCAACUAACUUCUGGUACCUUGACGGUACCUCACCAGAAAGCCACGGCUAACUACGUGCCAGCAGCCGCAGUAA
RNAcentral lists this ribosomal RNA (510 nucleotides) under uncultured bacterium. RNAcentral describes it as "partial 16S ribosomal RNA". It matches the Rfam family "Bacterial small subunit ribosomal RNA", at positions 28 to 523 of the family's 1533-position model. The record is from RNAcentral.